GUAGGUGAACCUGCGGAAGGAUCAUUAACACGUUCACACGAACGUAUUAACCAAACGAGAAGAUGUGACACUUGCCCUGGUCGUGAAGUAGAGGUGAUGCUUGAGGAAUGGUGUGAGCUGUGAAAGCAGCUCUGUCUCACGGCAUCUAGCAUUUACGAAAUGCAAACGCGCUUCACGUCGCCAGUAGAAUAGUUCUUACUGCUUAUUAAACCUGCACCUUGGCUUGCAGUUCGGGUGAUGAGAUUAUUAACCCCUUUUUAAUUAACUACUGAUUUGUACGUUUAUGUUUUGUUCCUUCUGACUUUCUUCGGAAACAAUGAGGUCGAGUGACUCGUAAAUGUCGUAUAUUUAUAAUACGAAACAACUCUUAGCAACGGAUAUCUUGGUUCUG
RNAcentral lists this unclassified non-coding RNA (391 nucleotides) under rhizosphere metagenome. RNAcentral's name for it is "partial ribosomal RNA internal transcribed spacer region". The record is from RNAcentral.